Molecule: ribosomal RNA, 506 nt
Filed under: uncultured bacterium
Lineage: Bacteria
Description: partial 16S ribosomal RNA
Rfam family: Bacterial small subunit ribosomal RNA
Source: RNAcentral
AUUGAACGCUGGCGGCAGGCUUAACACAUGCAAGUCGAGCGGUAGCACAGGGGAGCUUGCUCCCUGGGUGACGAGCGGCGGACGGGUGAGUAAUGUCUGGGAAACUGCCUGAUGGAGGGGGAUAACUACUGGAAACGGUAGCUAAUACCGCAUAACGUCGCAAGACCAAAGAGGGGGACCUUCGGGCCUCUUGCCAUCAGAUGUGCCCAGAUGGGAUUAGCUGGUAGGUGGGGUAAUGGCUCACCUAGGCGACGAUCCCUAGCUGGUCUGAGAGGAUGACCGGCCACACUGGAACUGCGACACCGUCCAGACUCCUACGGGAGGCAGCAGUGGGGAAUAUUGCACAAUGGGCGCAAGCCUGAUGCAGCCAUGCCGCGUGUGUGAAGAAGGCCUUCGGGUUGUAAAGCACUUUCAGCGAGGAGGAAGGUGGUGAACUUAAUACGCUCAUCAAUUGACGUUACUCGCAGAAGAAGCACCGGCUAACUCCGUGCCAGCCGCCGCCGUAA